Molecule: long non-coding RNA, 289 nt
Organism: Aethina tumida (small hive beetle)
Lineage: Eukaryota; Metazoa; Arthropoda; Insecta; Coleoptera; Nitidulidae
Exons: 3
Source: RefSeq, a predicted model, not a curated record
UGUUAAUUGAUUUCAUGAUUUCAGCAAUUAAUAUAACAAUAAUUUCAAUUCAAAUGGUUGUUUUGCCUGGUCUUGACAUGAUAGUUUUAGUCUUGUUUCACGUUGUAACAUACGUUUUUCAAUUUUAUUUUAUAUAUUCGGCUGGUCACGAAAUCAACGAAGAAAGUAUGAAUUUGGCUUGUGCAAUUUACGAAUGUGAUUGGUACGAAUAUGAUAAUGGAUUAAAGAUGGAUUUAUUGUUCAUGAUGCAGAAUUGUCAAAAUGUACCGAUGAGGUUGUCGAUUGGUCC